AAAAAAAAAUUUUUUUUUUUUUUAACGUGGUAGAAAUCUUCAUAGACACACUUCCCUUACUCCAGCGGGGCGGCAGAAGGUAGUGAGUGCCGGAUUCUUACCGGCUAAAACGUCCACGAGCGGGGAAAACCAAUGCACAAGUGCGAUUAUUGUCGGCCUGCUCGCUGCUUAUCAAGCACACCUUUAACCAACACUCCCAGAAAGUGCAUCCACAACACGCGCAAGGGGAUGAUGUGAACGAUGAGGUGUAUGAGAGGGUGGUGAGAUGAUAAUAUGUCGUCCCUCUGCUGAUGUUGCUGCUGCAGGAGCUGUUUGCUGCUGCCGCUCUCUUGUCGGUUGUGUAUUACUUUUGAGAGGAUUUUUGGUCUUUCCAUCCCUUGUAAAUCUCCAACAGGCCGAGGAUUCGAACUCGUGCGCAUCGUCUUCAGCGCGGGGCCUUAACGAGCGUCGCUGGCCUCCCCGCCGAGCUUCUAGCUAAUUGGAAAGUAUUUAACUCUUAAUGUGGCAUUGUAUAUCAUAGUAAGUAUUCUAAUUGCUUUAGAAGAAAGUUCCUUAAUGAUUUUACUGUUUAUUUAAUUAAAAUCGAGAAUUUUCUCGCUCAAUUUUAAUUUUAGCAACAGUAGCUCAAGUAGCUAUAAGGACUGUUUGAAGCGAUAUUUGAUUCAUUAAAUUGAAACAUAUUAUAGAAUCAUGUUUUUUUUCUAAGAGAUUUAAUAUCUCAUAAUAAAUUAAUAAAAUAAUAAUAGUAAUAUAUAUACUAUAUUUAAUAAUGUAGUAUAAUAUCAUAUGGCAUAUAAUAUAUAUAACAUAUAUUUAGUUAUUGUGUGUAAGAUGUCCGUGAUAAUAGUAGUUGCCGGCUGUAGAUGUCGCUGCUGGGCUCUGCUGAUUUUCCUCCUAAUUUAGUUGCGUAGAAGAAAGAUCGGACUCUGGUCGCCAUGAUUCGAACCCGGGUUCCAAACGUUCGUAACCUAAGACGCUAACAACUGCGCUGCCGUCGUUUUGCUUUUGUGUAACGUUCAUCGACCAGUAGAUAAUAUUACAUGUUUACAAUUUGUAACUUAAAUUUAAGUGGCUGUAGAGCGGUGCUUAUAUACGAUAUUGUUCUUUUUUCUAUCUCCGUCCUGAAAACCUGGUCGCAAAAACAGGACAGUUCUGCGCUGCCGUCGUCCUACACCAUAAUUCAUUAGAAAGACCUCAGGGCUUCCUAUUCGAGGAAACGAUCAGUUCAUCUCCUAAUGGAACGUAUCAAAUAUAGGAGUGCCGCCCAAUAGAGGGACAGGACGUGAUAUUUAAUCCAUUUGCGCCUAUAAACGUAAAGCAGCAUUCAUCUCUGUAACUAUGCUUGUGCACACGUUAAACGUUGCAUCCAUUUGUUGAGUUGCUGAGAGAGUAACAGAUUUAAAAAAGUUUCAAUUUUUAGACAUUUUUAAAAAGUAACCAAAAAUGUCUUCUUUCUUAAGCAUCAUAGUUAUCCAAUAAAAUUACACUAUUUAACAGAAACAAGGUCAUAACUUAAGAUAGCAAAUACUUUGGUUCCAUUCUUUAAGCGUUAUUUUGAAAACUAUGAAUUUGCAUGACUAUCCGCUCUCUGGUUAUACAUUUCCUAGCAACAUUCUUUCAAAAAAUCUAUGUCGUGUAUUUGAAGAUGAAAAGAUUCUAUGAAUCAAGGAGAAGCCAAGUUCUUAUUUCGUAUUUUUAUAAAUUAUUUCUUUAAGGGAAAGAAAGUGAAAAAUGUGUUAAAGGAUAGAAGGGGAAUUUUGAAAGUAGAUUUAAAAAGAUAAAUAGACCAAAGAAUAUAAAAACUGUCUAUAUAAAACUGUCUGUGUAGUUUGCUUAGGGAUCAUUGAUGAAUAUUGGAUUCAGUUGUCACAAUAGAAUUAUUGAUGAUUAUAUUUAUGAUCGUUGUAAAUUAUUUUGAAGCUGCCAUUCUAUGUUCCUUUAAAAUCAAUAACCAACGUUUAAUGUUAAUUUAAUCUAAAUAUUAUGACAAUUUUAUUUAUCUUAUUUCUUUACUUUGAUUUCUACUGUAGUUGACCUGUAAUUAAUGUAAAAUAAACAAAAUCAAGACGUUAUUUCUUUCGUGUAUCUAAGGAAAACCAUAAGUGUUCACUAAUAGGGAAACUCCCCCUAGACUGAUUUCAUUGCUGCCAACAGUGUCCAAAAAAAACUAUAAAAAGUUGUGAAGUUACUGAAAAAAUUAUUUUAAAAUGGGGUGUGAAAGAUAAUCACUGAAAGAAGCUUAAUUCCAUCGCAUCAAUUUGCUUCGGGAAUAAAUAUGCCACGAAAAAGUACAUAAGGUAACAAAACAAGAUCAUCAAUGCACUGGAGCUAAAACAGUACUGCGCUAUCCUAUUUUUGGACGUUGAAAAGGUAUUUGACAAAGUAUGAUGUGGGGACUUCUUGACAGAAUUAAACAAAACUUCCCUAUCGAGAUGUUUCUGUUUGUUAAAUUAUACUUUAAAAAUAGAAGAUUCUUUGCUGAAUAUCAAACACCCCUUCAGAUUUACAUACUGUCAGUGCUGGCGAUACUCAAGGUUAUGUUUUCAUAACUACAUUGUAUACUCUGUAUGUAAACAGUCGAUAUACUGACCAGCUCUAAAAAUACUUUAUUUUAACGUUCGCUGAUAAUACUGUAAUUCUAGCCACCGUGCUAAGGUUGUAUCAACAUUAUUGCAGCAACACAUACGAUUGCUGGGACACUGGUUAAAUCAGUGGAAAAAGGGUAUACUGGCAAAUGUAAUCACAUCGCUUUCACGUUAAGGAAGGGCAGCAUAUCUCCCACUUACAAAGAAUUUUAGGCAUGAAAAUAACAUGAUAUUCAGCAUUUUAUAAGAAAAUCAAACCCAUGCAUAUACCUAGUGUAUUUCUUUAUCGUUGUUCGUUACUAUUAGGUUGGCAGCUAAGUGAUUGCGGAUUUUGCCAUUAGGUGGCAUUAACAAAAUCCGCAAUCAGUUGCCAACCCAAUAUAUGUUACACUUUACGAAAAGGAAUAUUCAUAUUUAUAAAUCAUAUAUAAAUCAUAUUUAUGAUUAUUGAAAUAUGUAUAAUUUUAUGUGCCAGACUAGAUUGAUAGUAGUUAUACAUGUAUGUGAAUAUGAGUGUGUGGAACUAUGUGUGUGCGCGGUGCCUCGAAAACAAAAGAAUGUAAACUAUUCAAUUAAGUCUGGUACUGAAGAAGGUGACACGCGUGCAAGUGUGUAUCGAUGAAUAUCUUUGAAAUCCUUUAUGAAAUAAAUAUAUAACUAUUCUAAUAUUAA
Molecule: long non-coding RNA, 3257 nt
Organism: Bombus terrestris (buff-tailed bumblebee)
Lineage: Eukaryota; Metazoa; Arthropoda; Insecta; Hymenoptera; Apidae
Exons: 3
Source: RefSeq, a predicted model, not a curated record